Molecule: RNA transcript, 3700 nt
Organism: Mercurialis annua (annual mercury)
Lineage: Eukaryota; Viridiplantae; Streptophyta; Magnoliopsida; Malpighiales; Euphorbiaceae
Gene name: pentatricopeptide repeat-containing protein At1g06710, mitochondrial
Exons: 3
Source: RefSeq, a predicted model, not a curated record
UUCAAUUUCGGGGCCAAAUAGGGACCUAAAUUCUGUCCUUCCAUCCUCCUCUGGUUCUCCCAACCUUCAACCCGUCAAACAAAAUGAGAAAAACAUUAUUAUUCAUUCCCGUUUCCCGCUACCAUCCACUCAAUAAUUCUCCUCUUCGCCUUUUUUAUUUAAACAAAUUUCUUCUCAGUUUUAGUUCCACCGCUUCCUCUGAUCAUAACCUCCAAGGUCUAGUAGACGACCCGUUCGAUAAUUCUCCUACGAAUUCUACUUCAAUUCAGGAAUUCUCCUUCUUACAUCCUAACAAUCAUACAGGUAAGUCCCCCUCAACUGACCCUUUUUUAGUUGCCCAGGCCAUUUUAACUAACCAUGACGACUUUGGUGUCAAUACCCAGAAAUUUCUUAGGCAAUUUAGACCAAAUUUGAGCCACUCCUUUGUAGUUGAUGUUUUGAAUCAUAUGAAAAACUACCCUCAUUUGGGCAUCAAAUUUUUCAUCUGGGCCGGUAGGCAAAUUGGCUAUUCUCACACUCUUCAAGUCUACAAUGCAUUAUUAGACAUUAUUGAAACUAGGAACAGUAGUGGUACUAGUACUGAUGAUAGAAUUCCACACCAUUUUUUGCUCGAAAUUAUGGACGAAGAAAGGGAAGUUCUCGGGAAGUUGCUUAACGUUUUGGUUCGCAGGUAUUGUCAAAAUGGUUUGUGGAAUGCUGCUUUGGAAGAGUUAGGCAGGCUUAAGGAUCUUGGUUAUAAGGCGUCGGGGUUAACUUAUAAUGCUUUACUUCAAGUCUUUCUCAGAGUGGAACGGUUGGACACUGCUUAUUUGGUUCACAGGGAGAUGUCGGGCUUGGGAUAUAAAAUGGACGGGUUUACUCUAGGUUUUUUUGCGCGUUCCCUUUGUAAAGCAGGCAAGUGGAGAGAUGCGUUGACGUUAAUUGAGAAAGAUGAAUAUGUGCCUGAUUCGGUGCUGUAUACCAAGAUGAUAUCUGGGUUAUGUGAAGCUUCUCUUUUCGAAGAAGCUAUGGAUUUCUUAAAUAGGAUGCGGGCAAGUUCUUGUAUUCCUAAUGUUGUGACUUAUAAGAUUUUGCUUUGUGCGUGUUUGAAUAUGGGACAGCUUGGCAGGUGUAAAAGAAUCUUAAAUAUGAUGAUUGGCGAAGGUUGUUAUCCAAGUCCUAGAAUAUUUAAUUCUCUUGUUCAUGCUUAUUGCAAAUCAGGAGAUUACUCUUAUGCUUAUAAGUUGCUUAAGAAAAUGGAAAAAUGUGGCUACAAGCCAGGUUAUGUUGUCUACAAUAUAUUGAUUGGUGGUAUUUGCGCCAAUGAGCAAUUGCCUAGCAUGAAUACCUUAGGGUUGGCUGAGAAAGCCUACGAUGAAAUGCUUGACAUGGAAGUUGUAUUGAAUAAGGUCAAUGUCUGCAAUUUCACUCGGUGUCUCUGUUGCAUUGGAAAAUUUGAGAAGGCUUAUAAUGUAAUUAAGGAAAUGAUGAGUAAGGGCUUUAUACCUGAUGCCAGCACAUAUUCUAAGGUCAUCGGUUAUCUGUGUAAUUCAUCUAAAGUAGAGAAGGCUUUUCAAUUGUACCAAGAGAUGAAAAGCAAUGGUAUCACUCCUGAUGUUUAUAUAUAUACAACAUUACUUGAUUGUUUUUGUAAAGUUGGUUUAAUAGAACAGGCUCGCAACUUGUUUAAUGAAAUGCAAAGAGAUGAUUGUGCUCCAACUGUGGUGACUUACACUGCUCUUAUACAUGCUUACCUUAAAAUUAGGAAGUUAUCCGAUGCAAAUGAAAUUUUUGAGAUGAUGCUUACUAAAGGAUGUGUGCCUAAUGUUGUCACAUAUACGGCUUUAAUUGAUGGUCAUUGUAAAGCUGGAGAGACUGAAAAAGCUUGCCAAAUUUAUGCAAGAAUGAAGAAUGAUAAAGUGGAUAUUCCGGACGUUGAUCUGUAUUUCAGGAUUGUUGAUAGCGAAUUCAAAGAACCAAAUGUUUUUACUUAUGGAGCUUUGAUAGAUGGUUUAUGUAAAGCCCACAAAGUUAAAGAGGCGCAUGACUUACUUGAAGCUAUGUCAGUGGAAGGAUGCGAGCCAAACCAGAUCAUAUACGACGCUCUCAUAGAUGGAUUCUGCAAGUUGGGCAAACUAGAUGAGGCUCAAGAGGUGUUUACCAAGAUGUUGGGCCAUGGAUAUGCUCCAAAUGUAUAUACUUACAGCUCUUUGAUUGACAAGCUGUUCAAAGAUAAAAGGCAAGAUCUUGCAAUAAAAGUGUUGUCCAAGAUGCUGGAAAACUCAUGUGCUCCCGAUGUUGUUACUUACACUGCAAUGAUAGAUGGUCUGUGUAAAGUUGCAAAGACAGAUGAAGCCCACAAACUUAUGCUUAUGAUGGAAGAAAAGGGGUGUUAUCCCAAUGUGGUGACUUAUACUGCCAUGAUUGAUGGCUUUGGCAAAGCAGGCAGAGUUGAUAGAUGCCUUGAGUUGUUCCAGCAAAUGGCUUCUAAGGCCUGUGCUCCAAAUUUUGUCACAUAUAAGGUUCUAAUAGGCCAUUGCUGUGCUGCUGGACUAUUGGAUGUGGCUCACCAAUUUCUAGAAGAGAUGAAACAAACAUAUUGGCCAAAGGACAUUGGAAUCUACAGAAAGGUCAUUGAAGGUUUCAGCUAUGAAUUUAUAGCUUCUUUUGGUCUUUUAGCUGAGAUGAGUGAGAAUAAUUCAGUGCCAAUGUUGCCUGUUUAUAAACUCUUGAUUGAUAAUUUUAUCAAGGCUGGAAGAUUGGAGAUGGCCCUAGAGCUGCAUGAAGAGCUCUCUUCAUUUCCAGCUUCCUACUCUAGCACAACUAUUUAUUUGAUUGAGAGCCUUACACUUGCAGGUAAGGUUGACAAGGCUUUUAAGUUGUAUGCGGACAUGGUUAGGAGGGAACAUGUUCCAGAACUAAGCUUAUUAGUUUGCCUUAUCAAGGGGCUUCUUGGGGUCGGUAAGUGGGAAGAAGCAUUGCAACUGUCAGACAGCAUAUGCCAAACGGGUAUUUAUUGGGUCCAAGAAGAGCAGAAAAUUGACGAAAUUUAACUUUUUGCAAAUUUAAGCUGUCUCAGUUUGGAUAAAAUAAUUAAUCGUGCAUGACCAAGUGCUUUGGUUGAGGUUGGCUUGCAUUUUUAUCCAACCAGAUGGAUCAACACGUACAUUUCAACCGCUGGAUGUAUAGGAGGCUACUCCUAAUGCUGAAUGGAAACUUGGAUACACAUUAACAUCUCAAUCAACAUGGUUAAGAUGCUAUGUAGCAGGUGGAGUGAACUAAAAGAAGAUUAAUAAUGGAGGGUGAGUUGUUGGUGGGUUUGGAGGCAUUGAAAGGAAAGAAGUAUGCUUGUUCCCCACAGCUAGAAAAGCUGAGAUGCUCCAGCGAUUUGCUCGAUGAGCAGCUAAACGCAGGCAAUGAGAUCGAAAUAAAAGAUGCUGCUCUGAUUUGAUGAAUAUCCGACAACUGCAGUCUGUACCUUAAUACAGAUUGCGCUGAAUUUGACUGCUCUUGUUAGAGCAUGUCUAAGUGCGAGUUCAGGGAAAUUAAAAUGAAGGAUAUGAUGGAUAGUAUCAUAGUAAGUUCAAGUCGGAUGUUGCAGAGUAAAGAUGCAACUACACGUCGACGCUCCUCACAAAUUUUAUCAUUUGUAUUUCGUGCUAAUUUCCUUUGUAGCCGUUGUACCUCUUAUUUUGCAUUUUAUCAUUAGUUUCCACUGCCA